GUGAAUAGAGGCAGUCGGAGAGCGGCGCUGGGCGAGCGCGGCGCGGCGGCCCCGCGAGUGCUGCAGUGAGGGAGGCGAGGAGGGGGGAGAGAGGGAGAGAGAGAGAGAGAGAGAGCGAGCGCGGCUCCAACUGUUGAAUUUUCACUGAAUUCUCCACUUACCUGCGGGCGGCUGGUGAAAUGGAUCUGGUUUAUCGGGGAUCGGCGUUCGCUCCGCGUGCUGCCUGGCUAAGACUGGCGACCGUCUGUUUGCGAGGGGCCACCCAUCAAUGAGGCAGAGAAGAAUAAUUGUUUUUUCUUCUUUUGCGUUUGAAAGCCUCCCUGCCACACGUUGCAGAAUUAACUGUGUACUUUGGGUCCGGACUCAAAUAAAGGAGAAAAAACAGUGCAGAACUGAGACUCGGAACUAGAUCUGUGAGCUAUGUAUUGGAAACCUAUGUUUUUAUUGCCUUUUUUUUUUUUUUUUUCUUUUUUUGUGAAAGAUCUCUGAUUUAUUUCACACAUAACACUGAGGAAAGGUGGUUAAAAACACUCAGCAAAGCAGGAGACAGACGCGCCUCUGUGCCAGUGAGUGGAUAACAGCCUUGUUUUCCUGAUCCUCAGUCUCCCGGAGAAAGAGGAAACGGUGACCCAGGGUGUACGAGACAGAGAGGGGGGAAAUACCGACAGCAGCGAGAUGCAGCUCUCCGCCGCAAGCAAUGCAAGAUUAGAUCUCUAAAUGCAGCAAAA
Lonchura striata (white-rumped munia) is the source of this 728-nucleotide non-coding RNA. Lineage: Eukaryota; Metazoa; Chordata; Aves; Passeriformes; Estrildidae. The record is from RefSeq and is a predicted model, not a curated record.